This 74-nucleotide transfer RNA is filed under the name Florenciella parvula. RNAcentral's name for it is "tRNA-Asp". It matches the Rfam family "tRNA". Rfam says of the family: Transfer RNA (tRNA) molecules are approximately 80 nucleotides in length. Their secondary structure includes four short double-helical elements and three loops (D, anti-codon, and T loops). Further hydrogen bonds mediate the characteristic L-shaped molecular structure. tRNAs have two regions of fundamental functional importance: the anti-codon, which is responsible for specific mRNA codon recognition, and the 3' end, to which the tRNAs corresponding amino acid is attached (by aminoacyl-tRNA synthetases). tRNAs cope with the degeneracy of the genetic code in two manners: having more than one tRNA (with a specific anti-codon) for a particular amino acid; and 'wobble' base-pairing, i.e. permitting non-standard base-pairing at the 3rd anti-codon position. RNAcentral also lists the same sequence under 1 other name. Lineage: Eukaryota; Dictyochophyceae; Florenciellales. The record is from RNAcentral.
GGGAUUGUAGUUCAAUUGGUUAGAGCACCGCCCUGUCACGGCGGACGUUGCGGGUUCGAGUCCCGUCAGUCCCG